RNAcentral lists this transfer RNA (72 nucleotides) under Volvox carteri f. nagariensis. RNAcentral describes it as "tRNA-Met". It matches the Rfam family "tRNA". Rfam says of the family: Transfer RNA (tRNA) molecules are approximately 80 nucleotides in length. Their secondary structure includes four short double-helical elements and three loops (D, anti-codon, and T loops). The record is from RNAcentral. Lineage: Eukaryota; Viridiplantae; Chlorophyta; Chlorophyceae; Chlamydomonadales; Volvocaceae.
AGAAAGAUCGCCAAGAGGUAAGGCAUGGGCCUCAUGAGCCUACAGGCGCAAGUUCGAGUCUUGCUCUUUCUA